UCGACCAGCUUGAGCUUGGCCCAUAAUGACAUUAAGAAAAGCUGCUAAUGCCUGGACUGCCUCAAGAGACAUGGCAUGAACACCAGGAGUAGCAGUAGGUGGUGGAGGAGGUGGAGGAAUCUCAGUAGGCUCAACAGCAGGUGCUGCUCGAAAAGUAGGUGCAGCAGACUCCCUUUCCACGGGAUCUGGCUGACUAAGUCUAGCACGGCCUCUUCCCCUCCCUACUGACCUAUAGAGAGGUGGACGCCCACGUCGAGGAGGCAUGGUACUCUACAAUAAGAAAUGGAAUAGACUUAGAUGACUUUAAAUUCUAUAUGCAACUAACUCGAUAUAACCUAACUUAACUUGACUUACUUAACUUAACUUAACUUGGGCCACGCAGUGUCAGUGUGGAUUUCUUAAAACAACUUUAAAAUCAAAAACUUUGAAAUCCAAAGCUUUAAAAUCAAAAUCUUUGAUCUUUAAACCAUGCUCUGAUACCAAUCUAAUUGUCACGACCCGGAACUCCCAUCGGGCCCGUGACAACCGCCGCGACGUCCCGAUAAGCACUCAUUACCCCGAAUGCCGAUCGAAACCCCGCAAGGCUUAGCAUCAACUUCCGCAUCUCCCCGGUGAGCGACAGUUAUUAAAUCUCGCAUUUCAAGAAAUCAUAAGUUGUUUCCAACUCAAAACAAUAAAAAUAUUAUUUUCUAGCUCACUGGGGCAUUUUCGUCAUUUUUUUUUUGAAAUUUCGAAAUCCGAAAAAAUGUAAUAUGUAAGUGGAAACACAUAUUUCAUGAUUUAAAUUAAAUUUUGAAGUCUAAAACAUUCGUUUAAAGUAAAAUUAUAGCUAUUUGAAUAUAAUAAAAACAUUAAAUAAAAUAUUCUAUUUUCUUAAAACACAAUAUUUUCAAAGUCUUCCUAAAAUAACUUUUGUAGCGUAAGAGUAAAAUAAAUUUAUUCAUAUAGUAAUAAAGAUAAUUAAAGUAUGAAAUUUCGUUUACAGUGACACGUGGGCCCCCAACUAACCAAGAAGGUGUAGAGCUACGAACCCUUACUUCCUAUGAUGCAACUCCGAGAUUAAUUCUCGUCUUAAUCAACUAUCAACAAACUGUCCUGAGCCUGAAAAAUGGAUAGGAAGAGGGGUGAGAUUAAAUAAUCCCAGUGAGUAAACAAUUACCAUCAAAAGCAUCUAAAGCCGAGUAGAUGGAGACAAUAUAAAAACGUUAUAUCUCAAUAAUGUUCAUAACACAAAAUUCGUUUCAAUCUAUACCAAAUAAUUUCUUUUCAUCAAAAUUUCCCCGACUUAUGAAUUUUUUUAAACUUGGCCCCUGCCAAUAUCAUUCUCGCGGGUACCUUCGUCAAGGUAUCCCACUGAGACCGCCAAGGCUGUUCAAUGACCCAUACCCAUAAACAUGUUUUCACAUCUGACACACAGCCGUUCCUUGGCGUUGGCUGAGUCUCACUCUCACGUGGUGGCCCGAACGUGAGGUGCACUCAAAUCAUACCUCAGGAGAUACUUCACCCAACAUCUCCCCCCGGAGGUAAGUAUAUAAUUGAGUUACCGUGCCCCUCUCAUAGGCAGUCCACGGAAACCCCCACCACUGCAGUGACCGUUUAAUAUACCACCAGACCCAUAAAAAUUCCAGUAGCAUAAUAUGGCGAAUAAAAUGUAAUCCAGUCUACCGAGACCAAUCCAAAAUUGUUCAUAUAUUUCAUGCCAACCCCAAAAAUUUAGCCAUCAUGCUACCAUAGUGUCAUAAGCCCCAAUUUCAAUAACAUAUAAAAUCAUAAAUUUCAACACAGUCUCCAUAUACUCAAUUUUCCCAAAACAAUAUUUGAUUUCAAAACCAGUAUAAAUCUCAUUUUUAUUAAAAAACAUUUUAAUUGGAAAACAUAAUAUUUUAUAAUUUAAAUUCACCAUUCAAUAAAAGCAUCAAACAAGUAUAAUUACUCUAGAUAUUUAAGACGAUAAAUUGUCCACUCACAGUUCUAGGAGUCGAUGUACUCCUAAUCCCAGUCUUCAAGCACAAUUUUGGUACUUUUACCAGUGUAAUUUGCUCACCACCUAUCCACAAUGUACAAUACAUAAUUCACCACAUCAAUGCUUGACCAUUAUAAAAUCAAUUCAGGCUCGGUAUAUAUGCAUGAUAUGACAUGCAACUUAUCCGACUACCGCUUAAAUGCGGUGCUGACCUAAUUCGGCCUAUUACCCGAUUAAAUUACUAACGCGUCCAAUUUAAUCUCAAAUUAAUUUUUUUCAGUUUCUAUACCUCAAUUGCACCCAAAUUGACUUAAUGUCCCUCGGUGUGGUGCAAAUUAUCAGUCCUGAUAGCAAAUUACGAAAAUACCCCUAAUGGGUAAAAAUUCAUAUUUUUGCUCCGAAAAUUUCCAUUAUUUUUCUAGACUCAUAAUUCAUCAUUAUUCAUCAUAAUUCCUCAAAUAAACAUCAAGAUCAUCAGCCAAUAUUCCCCUAGAAAAUUCAGCCAAUAAUGGUAAUGGAGGAAAAUAAAUUCUUUUCUUGUUGUUUUGUUCCUAAAUAUGCUAAACUAACUUAAAACACUAACAUAACUUAAAAUCAAAUUAAUCUAACAAGUUUCUCUCUCCUAACCCAUUUUUCCAGAAUUGAAUUCAUCCUCAAAUCACAUGAUUCAACCAUGGAAAAUGAUGGGAAAUGCAUGGGAAAGGUAAAGCACAAGUCAAAAUCAAGAAAUUUUACCUUUGGUCACUUGUUUCCUUGAAUUUUCACCAAUUUUUCCUUGAAUUUCUCCCCCUAGGUUUUUGUUUUUCUUUUCCCCUUUGUUUUCUUGCUAUGGCCGGCCAUAAUGAAGAGAAAAUGGUGGUGUGGGCUGAUUUUUAUAGUUAAAUAAUAUAAUAAUCUAAACUUGCCACAUGUCACUACAUUAUUGGUCCAUUUUUUAAAUUCUUAUCUUUUAAGCUUUAAAUCUCCACCACACAUUAUUCCUUAAAAUAUCCAUAACUUAGAUAAAAUUCUCAAACUUAUCCAAAGUCUUGGUGAAGUAAUUUUUGAUAUUUACACUUUUGCCCCCGUAAAAAUCAAAAAUUACAUUUUUGCCCCAAAAACUGAAAAAUUGCCCAUAGACAUAUUUUUUAUCCCUUAUACUCAUAUCAUUCCCCAAUUUGUCAAAUGUGAUCUAAAUUCUCUCAAAAUCUCAAAUUUUGUCCGCAGAUGGAAAAAUUACAAUUUUACCCCUAUAUAGUGAAAAUUUCAAUUUGACUCCGAAUUGAUCCUCGAACUCCUAAUUACCAUUUUGAGUCAUCCCUGAACUGUGAAACUCUUAAUUUCACCUUAAAAUUCCUAUUUGAACUAGUUCGAGGCUUAAUCGACUUAAUGAUACCAUUAGGGGCAAUAUCGUCUUUUAACGAUUUCUCGAACUUCCUAAAUAUACAAACAUUCUAUCGAGCAUGUGAAUGAUAUUAUAAUUAUUUUACAAAGCAGGGUUUGACAACACUACCCCCCUUAAAAUAAAAUUUUGUCCUCAAAAUUUCACUUAUCAACUCAAAGAAAAGGCGGGGUAUUAUCUUUUAUUCGAUGCUCAACUUCUCCUGUUAUCUCCUUUAUAGGGAAUCUUAAUUCACUAAAAAUCAUUCUUUAUUUUAGUUAAUCACAAUAUCAACCCCACAUAUGUGUAUAUGCUUUAUAAUCCCAUUUAUGCAUCCAAGAUCUAUCUUGAUUUAAUCAUCGCAUACGAUGCAGUAUCAUAAUUCCUCAGAGUCAUCCCUUUGUCCUUAAUCAUCUUUCGUGCCUCUAUAUUGCUUUGUAUCCUUCUUGUAUUUCGACAUCAAUUUAUUGCUUAAGAUUUAAGUUCAUUUGAACUUUGUAUACCUCAAGUAUUUUUGAGUUCUAAUUUCCACAAUAUAGUAAGAAAUUCUUACAACCAUAUUCCAUAUGAACUCAUUUACUAUAUUAUUCUUGAAACCUUUAUUUACACGUCCAUCACUUGGUAUUUACAUCCCCUAUCACUAUUUUACACCUUCGUCUAACUUUUCACUCACUUUCUCCAGAUCGGACUCGUGCUUCAUCUUCCGUUACAGCGAAAACUCUUGUUGAAGAACGAGUCAAUGGCCUCAAAGGUGGUUGUGCUGGGGUGUUGCUACCCAUUUCAGAUCGUACAGUUACCCCCUGCCUCGGGUGUACUCCAGAGGAAUCUCUCCUCUGCAUAUCCGUAUGAGUUAGUGGGGAUGGAGCAGCUACUGUAGCCCGUCCUAACUGUGGGCAGUCACUCCUAAUGUGGCCCGGCUGGUCACAAUGAAAGCAUCUUAUGCCCCAACACUCCCCAACAUGAUAUCUCCCACAUUUUUCGCAUUUAUUUAAACCUCCAAAACUCUUCUCGGAAGUACUACUCAUCCCAGACCUGUUAAAUCUCGGAGGUCUCUGCUGUAACUGUGAAAGUGGGGGUCGAGGAGAUAUCACCGGAACAGAAACAGUACUCUCAGAAGCAAAUGUGUCCUUACCUCUUUUGGGCAGUUGACUAGAGGAUACAUUCGGGUUUCUCCUCUUUGCAAACUCAGCUCGCAUUCUCCGAUUUUCAUUCGUGAGUUUUUCGGCCCUUAAAGCCAUCUGUACAACUUCUUUAUGAGGCUCCCGGCCUGUCACAGUCAUCCUCUCUCUGAUCUCGUUACGGAGCCCUUCUUCAAAAUAACUAGCUUGAUCUUGCUCAGACUUCACCAGGUCUGGCACAUAUGACAUCAGCUCGUUAAAACGAGCCUCGUACUCUUCUAUGGUUAAAUUCCCUUGUUGUAAACUUAGGAAUUCUCUCUUCUUCUCUUUUUGAUGAAAGUAGGUGUAGUAUUGACCGUCGAAUUCUUGUAGGAAGUCUAUCCAAGUCAACGAAGUAAUGGAACGUGAUUUUACCGAGCUCCACCAUGUACGAGCCCUCUUCUCUAGUAAUCUUGUGGCCACCAUUAACUUCAUAUCAUCAUCCAAUUUCAUAUCCACAAAUGUCUCCGUUACCUGAGUAAUCCAAUCUUUAGCUGCGGUUGCAUCCAAAUCACCAACAAAAGAAGUGCAACCCAGCUGCCUAGCUUCCUUAAGCUUUUUGGAAAUGGAGACAUCUGGCACUGGUGGUGGAACAAGAGGUGGUGGUGGUGGCACUGGAGAUACUGCUGGGGGAACAGUAUGAGGGACUCGACCAGCUUGAGCUUGGCCCAUAAUGACAUUAAGAAAAGCUGCUAAUGCCUGGACUGCCUCAAGAGACAUGGCAUGAACACCAGGAGUAGCAGUAGGUGGUGGAGGAGGUGGAGGAAUCUCAGUAGGCUCAACAGCAGGUGCUGCUCGAAAAGUAGGUGCAGCAGACUCCCUUUCCACGGGAUCUGGCUGACUAAGUCUAGCACGGCCUCUUCCCCUCCCUACUG
Molecule: long non-coding RNA, 5355 nt
Filed under: Theobroma cacao (cacao)
Lineage: Eukaryota; Viridiplantae; Streptophyta; Magnoliopsida; Malvales; Malvaceae
Description: long non-coding RNA (TCAC_LNC005616)
Source: RNAcentral